Molecule: long non-coding RNA, 350 nt
Filed under: Gallus gallus (chicken)
Lineage: Eukaryota; Metazoa; Chordata; Aves; Galliformes; Phasianidae
Source: RNAcentral
CACAGUAUUGGACAUUAUCUGCACCAUUGCCUUCUUCUUCACAAAGAAGUCCUGCAAACUGUGCACAUGUUACAUGAAAAGCUUGUCGACAUCCGUGUUUAUUACAUGUCAUGCAUGCACCAGUGGCUGCUUUACUUUCUCUGCCUUGUUCAUCACAGAUAUAGCAAGUCUUAUUAUAACGAUCAUGAGGAACGGACUGCAACACAAUAGGUUCCAUUGUAGCGACAUUCGCAAACUGCACCUCGGGAAUGUACAGAGCACAAACCACAUGAGCCCAACCCCCAUUAUCUGUUCUCUUUAAAGCACCAUCCUUAUGAGGGCAUAAUUCACAUCUCACUCUGGCCGCUCUU